Hyla sarda is the source of this 424-nucleotide long non-coding RNA. RefSeq lists it as uncharacterized. The transcript has 4 exons. NCBI's taxonomy places the organism in Eukaryota, Metazoa, Chordata, Amphibia, Anura, Hylidae. The record is from RefSeq and is a predicted model, not a curated record.
UAUUUUUAGCAUGUUGUGAUACCCGCGCUGUAGCAUGUUGCAGAAAAUAAUUUCUAGUAUAAUAAUCAAAUAUACCAAUUGCCACAGAAUGGGAAAGUGCUAAAAAAGUUUUUACCAUUUAAAACUACAGCUCCCAGUAUGACCUCAAGUAUGUGGUCCUGCUGAUUUGUAAAAGAGAAAAUAAAGCUUGCCCUGAGAAUCCUGGAGAACAGACUUUUGGCCCCUUCAGGCAUCACGACCCGGGUACAACAUUUACCUUUACAUUUAAUGCCGUUACGCCCUGUGCCAUAUUGUGAAUAGAAUGCCUUUAUAAUAUGGCACCCAAUAAGGCAUGUCAUCAUUUUAAGAUUUAUACACCGAAACACUGUGUGAAAGGAGGAUGCAACACCCGCUCUGAGGCCAACAUGGUUAAUCUAUACUCAAU